This 408-nucleotide ribosomal RNA is filed under the name uncultured bacterium. Its description in RNAcentral is "partial 16S ribosomal RNA". It matches the Rfam family "Bacterial small subunit ribosomal RNA", at positions 28 to 526 of the family's 1533-position model. The record is from RNAcentral.
GACGAACGCUGGCGGCGUGCCUAACACAUGCAAGUCGAACGGAGUGGCAAACGGGUGAGGAAGACGUAAACAACCUGCCUUAAGGAUGGGGAUAACAGACGGAAACGAAUACUAAUACCGAAUAUCUUAAGAGGGGUUUGCGACUGAUAAGGUAGUUGGUGAGGUCACGGCUCACCAAGCCGACGAUGAGUAGCCGGUCUUAGAGGAUGAACGGCCACACUGGAACUGAGACACGGCCCAGACUCCUACGGGAGGCAGCAGUGGGGAAUCUUCCGCAAUGGACGAAAGUCUGACGGAGCAACGCCGCGUGAACGAAGAAGGUCUUCGGAUUGUAAAGCUCUGUGGUUCGAGACGCGGUACCGAAAAAGAAAGCCACGGCUAACUACGUGCCAGCAGCCGCGGUAAUUC